UUAUAAAAUUGUCCCGCUGCCCGAGUGCGUUUCCUGUCUUGACCAAACACGAAACAUGCUUAAUAACAGCCCCAAUUCGCAAACAAUUGAAUCUGUUUUACCUUCUUUUUUUUUUUUUAAGCCUGUUUAACCAUUAGCAAUGAGUAUAUUUUUUCUUCAAACAAGUGAAUAACCACGAGAAUGGUUUUGUAGCAGGGCAUGGUUCAUGCAACUAAUUCAACUCCAGUUUCUUUCUUAUGCGGAUCAACAUCAGCAAUCAGAUCUUAGACCUAGCAGGGCAAACCCAUCGCUCUUUCCUCAUGUACAGAAAAUAAAAGCAAGUCAUAUUUGAAA
Molecule: long non-coding RNA, 333 nt
Organism: Prosopis cineraria
Lineage: Eukaryota; Viridiplantae; Streptophyta; Magnoliopsida; Fabales; Fabaceae
Exons: 2
Source: RefSeq, a predicted model, not a curated record